RNAcentral lists this transfer RNA (97 nucleotides) under Bacillota bacterium. RNAcentral describes it as "tRNA-Sec". It matches the Rfam family "Selenocysteine transfer RNA". Lineage: Bacteria; Bacillati; Bacillota. The record is from RNAcentral.
GGGAGUAGAUGAGUGCUGGUGUGCUCUCUGGUCUUCAAAACCAGUACGGGGCGUUAGGAGCGUCCUGGGUGGGUUCGAUUCCCACAUAUUCCCGCCA